GGAGCCCUGCAGCCCCGUCUCCUAGGAUGCCAUGCACCCGGCUGAGGGGCCCGGCUGACUGAAGUCCCAGUAAACCGCAGAGGCGGCUCCCGCCAGGCUCCCACGCAGCGUCUGCUCCCAAAUCACUGCUAGUGGACACUUGCUGGCUGGACAAGUGGACAAGGACAAUUGGUUGAGGUAAACAGGCUUGGACGUUUCCAGCCGAGUUGACGCUUUCCCUGGCCUGCUUGCUUGUCUCUGUACAGAGCUGUGCAGUUAGAUGAUUGUAUUCCCAUCAACUGAGAGCCGGCCCAUCUAAUUUAAUGCUCUUUAUAGCACAGCAAAUUCUGAUUUGGAGAGUGGGUGUGCAUGGAUGUUUGUGCAAUCCUAUUUACAAAGCGACUGAAGAAAAAAAACUCUAAGUGUUCCUGUGACAGAGAACAUGGUGUAGCUCACAGCUUGCCAGGGACGGCAGCUGGGAUGGCCUGGGAGGACCUCGGUGCCCGUCCUCACCGCUGGGGCGUGUCCGCCCUAGCACCCUGCGUGGGACUCAGGGCUCGGGUGGCCCCCGUCACCCUGUUCCCCAGGUCUGGGAGGGACACAGCUGUGUGCCAGCUGGGGGACAGGGGUGACCCCACACGGGGAAGCCGACUUAGCAAACUUACUCCAAAGCACGUUGCUUUGUGUUGUUAUUGUUGCUAAGCCCCAGUGACGAUUCUGAAAUCGAAUAUAAACUGUUUGUAUCAGGAAAGCCCCAAGGCGAGAACGUGUGUCACAGUGUUUAUGAGGCAGCUGAUAAAAGGCCCUCCACAGAGGGAAGGGGCUCUGUGGGGCACCCUGCUCCGUCCCAGCAGCCUCUGCCCGGAGGAGCAGUGCUGCUUGCCCUCAGCUCUGGUUUCCCCAGUGGGCAGAGCCGGCUCCCGACCCCAACCCCCUGGACCUGCUGUCGGCCACCUGCCGGUGUCCCUCAAACCUUUAGAGGGGAAGAGUGGGGCACCGGGGCUCGGCCAUGGCCUCCGGCGGGUCUCACCCCGCUUCUCCUAAGGCUGGCGCUGUACUGGGGACCUUGGACGCAGGCAUCCACAGCAGAUUCCUGAGACACCACCCCACCUCGAGGCACAGAUCGGAUGAGAAGAGUUUUGCAGAAAUGACCUUUCCGAGGCAACCCUUUACUUGGUAAUUAGUAUGACAGAUGAGCUGUCAGCCAGAGACCCAUUUAAGGACAUUCCCAGAACUCCUGGCCUCCCUGGGGGAGCCCCAUGAGGACCAAGGAGCAGGGACAUCAGGACCCCCAAGGCUCAAAGAAAGAGGCCCCCAGAGGGGAACCACACUCGCUGUGUCUCACGCACUCGGAAGGCGAGCAGCUCUGUGCACCGUGGAUGGAACCAGGUGAGCGGAGGCAGCCGGAUGGUGCCCACAGGACAGGAGGGGACUGCAGGCCAAAGCUCAGACUGGGCCACAGGGACCUGCGCAUGACCGGGAACAUCACUCCGCACACGGGGGCCAGGCUCAGCCUCAGCCCAGGAGUGUUUCUGCCUGAUUUCUCAAGGUGAAGAGAUGCACGCUGAGUGGAGUUACAAUUUGCCUGGACUCUGUUCUUUGUAGAGGACGUGCAUCCCUGUAGUACGAAAAGUCUUGAACAGAAGAAAAUAUGCUAUACUAUUGCUUGACCAAGCAAUUUUACCCAGGGCUUCACAGUGAGCUACACCCCAGUCUUUCUUCUUUUUUUAAAUUUUGAGGCAGGAUCUUACUAAGUUGCUAAGUCGCCCAAGCUAGGAUCAAAGUUGCAAACUUACAAUCCUCUUGCCUCAGCCUCCCGGAGUGCUGAGAUGACAGGCAUGCACCACCAUACCCAGCAUCUUUUCUUGUUUGUUAAUUUAACACUGGUAACUUCUUAAGAGGUGUGGAUGUCUCUGUGUAAUUAGAGAGUGGCAAAAAAUAAACAAAAAGGCAGGAAUGGGAUUCAGGCGGCUCUAGAGAAGGCCUAAGUUUCUGUUGUGGUUUCCUCCUCGGAAACACAGGAAGAUGUAGAUUAAAUAUCACAAGAGCUAAGGUCAGAUAACGUCAGGUCAAUUUAAACUGACAGCCACAUCUGAACUGUAUAAAAAAUAAACAUUCCGCCUCCCUGCAGGAGGAGUCCUAGUUAGGGUGCUUCUGGGGUAACCCCAGGCCAUGGUGCGGGGUACAGGGGCAGCACUAACCGCCAUCCUGAAGCAAGGCUGGUGCCUUCCCCAUCCACAUGGCAAGCUCCAGCCUUUGCAGAGGAGUCCCCCAGGCAGGCCCUGUGCUCCCAGCUCUCAGGGAUGAGGAUGGGGUCAGAAGGGGAGGGCUUCAGAGUCACAGUGGUGAGUGGACCUGCCAGCACCUGAGCCGUGCACUGGCUGCUUCCGGUGCAAAGCCUUCCUGCCCAGGCAAUCCAUUCGGGGGGGCAGGGGGGGGUCACAGAUGGGCGGGGAGCCAGGCUUUUGAGACCUUCAGCGGAGGAGCUGCCAUCCUCCACCCUCAAACUGGCCAGGUGGUGCCCAAAGCCUUGGCUGCUGGGAGGGACCAGGUGCAGCGGAGCCUGCAGACUUCUUGCUUAGGAGUGGGAGAAACUUCAGCCGGGUUGUCAGGAAAUUUCCCAGACAGUGCUGAAGGGAAGCCAGGAAUCUAAAAAAACUUGUGCAAUCCCUGCAUUGGGGCAUUUUUAGACACAGGGAAACAGACAAGAAAAGGAAACAGGUUCACUGGGGGAUGUAGGGUUCCUGACAUCUUUUCUCAGAGCACAACGUGAAGGACUGGGUGUGACAAGCAGCUAUUUCAAGCCUGGACAGGUAUUCCUGGAAACAAUCAGUGGUUAAACGAAGUACAUGGAGCUGUUUCUGUGGAGCUCGUGUCUUUUCGAGGGAAAGUCAGCUCCCCAAAGAGGGAACGGCGUCACCACCACCUCUCACGAGAACGCCUGACACACUGCAGUCUCGAUGCCUCCAGCCACCAGCCACCACCUCGCACGCAGAGCCACUGCAGCCCACAGUGCCCACGACAGGGUGCAGGUGCCAAAGGCUGAUGUCUCAUGCUGGGCAGCAGGAGGGCAGGGGUUUGCACCCCACCUGUGGGGCCUCAAUGUCCACACACAAGACCCUCAGAUCCACCUCAAGCAGGCUUCGUGUGCCAAAGGCUGAAAGUUGCUUACAAAAGAGAGUCCCAAGCUACCUGCUGGCCACAGCUCGGACUCUUAAGUUGAUGUUACCGCAACUGAAAAGGGAGCGUGCACCUGAACAGUUCGUUUACUUCCAUGUAGGUCACAUACAAAAUAAAAAGUGUAUCCAAGGUCCUGCCUGGGGCUGGGUGGAGCUCAGCAUGUGUCAGGCACUGGACUCCGACCUGCCCGGCCCUCCUCCUCCUACCCCAACAGGUCCAGCCAGGGAGGUUCUGGUAAGUGCCAACUUCUCUGUGGAGCAGACUCUGGACACGGCACACAACAGCGAUCACAGUGGCUGCUGCAGAUGCCUUUGGGGUUUUUCUGCUCUGUUUUCUCUCUAGUUCUUUCCGACCCAUUGCAAGAGAAAAAUGUGUGGAGAUCUUGGCGCUAUUCUGUUUAUGUUGCUAAGUUACUGAGUAUUUUGCCUCACCCUAGCCAGAAAACCAUGUUAAUGGUCUUUAAAGAGAUAAGCUACAUUCUGGAACAUCGCAGCAUAAGUGCCCGCAAUGGGCUCGGAGGUUCUGUGAAAUAGUCUCCCUUCCCUUAGGUAGUUUGCAGUGAAGCCUUAUUUGGGGAUUGAGUAGGUGCUGAUCUGAAAUGGAAACCUCCUAUGUUUGCCCCAAGCCCUGUGCAUCACACUCGGUGCGCACACAGGCACACACAUGCACUCGAGAGGCUGUUCAGAGGAAGAGCACGGGCAGCCUGAGCCAGACGGGCUGGAAAAGGGCAGGGAGCUGGCACCACGCCAGCCAGCCCUCUGUGACCCUCAAGGUGCAUAGAGUCCCGGGCCGUGUUUUGCUGUGCUCAGAUACCUUUUCAAACAAUAUUGUGAGAUAACCUUUAAUUUAUUUUUUAAUAUGCUGAAUUGAAACACUAACAGGUGAAAUGCAAUUGUAAGUAACAGAAAGCAAAUUAAACUUGUAGUCAAAGUGACUGCUUUCUUUCUUGGCUGUAAUAAAAAUGGAAAUCAGUACA
Heterocephalus glaber (naked mole-rat) is the source of this 4135-nucleotide long non-coding RNA. RefSeq lists it as uncharacterized. The record is from RefSeq and is a predicted model, not a curated record. Lineage: Eukaryota; Metazoa; Chordata; Mammalia; Rodentia; Bathyergidae.